Molecule: ribosomal RNA, 376 nt
Filed under: uncultured bacterium
Lineage: Bacteria
Description: bacterial SSU rRNA
Rfam family: Bacterial small subunit ribosomal RNA
Source: RNAcentral
AGAGUUUGAUCCUGGCUCAGAUUGAACGCUGGCGGCAUGCUUUACACAUGCAAGUCGAACGGCAGCACGGGUGCUUGCACCUGGUGGCGAGUGGCGAACGGGUGAGUAAUGCACCGGAACGUACCCAGUAAUGGGGGAUAACACAUCGAAAGAUGUGCUAAAACCGCAUACGCCCUGAGGGGGAAAGCGGGGGAUCGUAAGACCUCGCGUUAUUGGAGCGGCCGAUGCCGGAUUAGCUAGUUGGUGAGGUAAGAGCUCACCAAGGCGACGAUCCGUAGCUGGUCUGAGAGGACGACCAGCCACACUGGGACUGAGACACGGCCCAGACUCCUACGGGAGGCAGCAGUGGGGAAUUUUGGACAAUGGGCGCAAGCCU